UUCUUGACGACCAUAGAGCAUUGGAACCACCUGAUCCCAUCCCGAACUCAGCAGUGAAACGAUGCAUCGCCGAUGGUAGUGUGGGGUUUCCCCAUGUGAGAGUAGGUCAUCGUCAAGAU
RNAcentral lists this ribosomal RNA (119 nucleotides) under Pseudomonas brassicacearum. RNAcentral also lists the same sequence under 2 other names. Lineage: Bacteria; Pseudomonadati; Pseudomonadota; Gammaproteobacteria; Pseudomonadales; Pseudomonadaceae. The record is from RNAcentral.